Long non-coding RNA from Musca domestica (house fly), 321 nucleotides. RefSeq lists it as uncharacterized. The transcript has 2 exons. The record is from RefSeq and is a predicted model, not a curated record. NCBI's taxonomy places the organism in Eukaryota, Metazoa, Arthropoda, Insecta, Diptera, Muscidae.
CACUGAGAAGAGGGGUAUAAAAGGCUGCGAGCAUAAGAAAAGCCAAAGUUAAGAAUAAGACGUUACCGGUGAAACUUAGCUAGAGAGCAGUGAAGAAGUGGAAAAAUUUAAUUUGUGUGUUGCGAUUUUUUUUUAUUGUGAAUAUUCCGGUGGUGUAUCAAGCCUUUUUUGGAAGCACCGAAAAUUGUCCGGUUUUGGUCAGCACAACGGCGGGAAAUUGCCUUUUCUUUUUGGUAACGCAAGGUAGUGGCAAGUUGUCCACAGGAAAAAAAAGCCAAAAAAGUUACAUUGAGGGUGUGGAGAUUUGAAUUGUAAACUGGC